AGUCGAUGGCCUUCGGCGUAAAGAGUGGUUAAGAUACAAUCCAAACUAAAGCCAAACAACUUCAAAGCUGUUAUACGCACAUGAAGACAUGAAGCCCAACCACGAAAGUGGCUUUAAGUUUCUGACCCCACGAAAGCUAUGGUACAAACUGGGAUUAGAUACCCCACUAUGCCUAGCCAUAAACAUAGAUAAUUAUGUACUUAUUUAUCCGCCUGGGUACUACGAGCGUUAGCUUAAAACCCAAAGGACUUGGCGGUGCUUUAGAUCCACCUAGAGGAGCCUGUUCUAGAACCGAUAAUCCCCGUUAAACCUCACCUCUCCUUGCCUAGUCCGCCUAUAUACCGCCGUCGUCAGCUUACCCUGUGAAGAGAUAGAAGUAAGCACAACCGGCACAGCCCAAAACGUCAGGUCGAGGUGUAGCGUAUGGAGAGGGAAGAAAUGGGCUACAUUCGAUAGCAAUAUUGAAUACGGAUAAUGUUUUGAAAGAGACAUUUGAAGGAGGAUUUAGUAGUAAGCAGGGAAUAGAGAGCCCCGCUGAAACCGGCCCUGAAGCGCGCACACACCGCCCGUCACUCUCCCCGAGCUAACAUAAACCAAUUACUAAUAAACAAAAACU
Molecule: ribosomal RNA, 616 nt
Filed under: Anampses caeruleopunctatus (bluespotted wrasse)
Lineage: Eukaryota; Metazoa; Chordata; Actinopteri; Labriformes; Labridae
Description: partial small subunit ribosomal RNA
Rfam family: Bacterial small subunit ribosomal RNA
Source: RNAcentral